Oryzias melastigma (Indian medaka) is the source of this 1193-nucleotide long non-coding RNA. RefSeq lists it as uncharacterized. The transcript is spliced from 2 exons. The record is from RefSeq and is a predicted model, not a curated record. NCBI's taxonomy places the organism in Eukaryota, Metazoa, Chordata, Actinopteri, Beloniformes, Adrianichthyidae.
AUGACCCUGAAAGAUGACCAAACAGAACCACUUGUAACCCAGCUGAAAUUCUGCGCUGUCUCUUUAAAUCUGCCGGUUCCCCUUGCACUGCGUAACUGCAGUGACGUGUCACUUUCACUUUGAAAGGCGUGUCAAAACGCCAAUGAGAGAUGCAUUCGUGGGGAAGCUCGGCUGUGUACCGCUGCAGCAGGUAGGCUUUUGACUUGCAGGCGCGAAAUAUUAAUCCUGUUGUGCCGGUUUACUGACGAAAGGCAUUUUAUUAGAUUGGCGUUCAUCACCGGAAGCCGGGAAAAUUAAAUCAGCGCGAUUAGUGAAGCGUGAACUGGCCAGGUCGCUUGACUGGUUGUGUCUGAAGAUUUUGGAGUGCUCACCCAGAGCAUUGGAUGCAGUAUCGACUGGGGAGUCCACCACUCCCAGAAAACAGUGAGGAUAAAACCUCUGUGGAUGGCGAGCUAAAAGGAGCCCGAUAUUAGACCGGAAUCUACCAUCCUACCACCAGUGCGGUAGGACUAACCCCCCACACUCUACAACAACUCAUCCGGAGUGCAUUUUUCUUUCUUUUUUUAUCUCCGGUAACUGGAGUACCCAGACUCUUUCUCAUCACAACUCUCUCUACGAACUAAUAGAAAAAAAACAUCAUCAGGACUGAAGUGUUUUGUUCCUAUGUGUUGUAAAUUUUGAAUUCACUGUAUAUUGUAAAUACAUUUGCAUCAGCAACUCACCUUUAGCCUUGUCUGUUGUUUUUAAGCAUUCACUGUCCUCCCUGAGUCGAACCUUUCUAGCCCAAACCGACAACUUCUGAAUAAUAUUAAUUCAUGCAUGCUACACACUGCUUUAACCAGUCUCUUUUUAGGGUUCUUUGUUAGACUAACAAGUUAUACUUACCCAGAGUGCUUUGCCUGCUGCAGUGUUUGCCCUCAGGGAGGAGGCUCCCGGGGCCAGAGCUGACGGGGAGCGCGCUCGCUGCAAACCUGGCGAGCAGGCCCAGCCCGCUCUCCUCGCAGCCGCCGUCCAAAUCCUCAUCCUCUUCCUCAUCGUCUGAGAUUUCUGCGCCGAAGACAAAAAAAAAAAAAAAAACGUCAGCUGAGAGACUAAACAUCGCAGAAGCAUGCGUCUGGGGUCAAAGGUCAAAUCAAUUCCUAUUGCUUCUAGCAGCUGCAGAGGAUCAACAACCAGGAAGUGACUAAAAAAAA